This 440-nucleotide ribosomal RNA is filed under the name uncultured bacterium. RNAcentral's name for it is "partial 16S ribosomal RNA". It matches the Rfam family "Bacterial small subunit ribosomal RNA", at positions 338 to 795 of the family's 1533-position model. The record is from RNAcentral.
CCUACGGGAGGCAGCAGUAGGGAAUUUUGCGCAAUGGGCGAAAGCCUGACGCAGCAACACCGCGUGAAUGUUAAGCCCUUCGGGGUGUAAAGUCCUGUCAAUCGGGACGAAUUUGGACUGUACCUAUAAAGCACUCCCCGGCCAACUCCGUGCCAGCCGCCGCGGUCAUACGGGGGGUGCACGCGUUGUCCGGAAUCAUUGGGCGUAAAGCGUUCGUAGGCGGCAAGGUAUGUCUGAUGUUAAAGCCCGGGGCUCAACUCCGGUUCGGAAUUGGAUACUAUCUAGCUAGAGUGUGGUAGAGGUGAGGGGAAUUCCUGGUGUAGCGGUGAAAUGCGUAGAUAUCAGGAGGAACAUCAGUGGCGAAAGCGCUUGACUGGACCAUAAUUGACGCUGAGGAGCGAAAGCCAGGGGAGCAAAUGGGAUUAGAUACCCUUGUAGUC